CCUACGGGAGACAGCAGUGAGGAAUAUUGGUCAAUGGGCGCGAGCCUGAACCAGCCAAGUAGCAUGAAGGAUGACUGCCCUACGGGUUGUAAACUUCUUUUAUAAAGGAAUAAAGUGAGGCACGUGUGCCUUUUUGUAUUUACUUUAUGAUUAAGGAUCGGCUAACUUCGUGCCAGCAGCCGCGGUAAUACGGAGGAUCCGAGCGUUUACCGGAUUUUUUGGGGUUAAAGGGAGCGUAGGUGGGUUGUUAAGUCAGUUGUGAAAGUUUGCGGCUCAACCGUGAAAUUGCAAUUGAUACUGGCAGUCUUGAGUGCAGUUGAGGUAGGCGGAAUGCGUGGUGUAGCGGUGAAAUGCUUAGAUAUCACGAAGAACUCCGAUGGCGAAGGCAGCUUACUAAACUGCCACUGACACUGAUGCUCGAAAGUGUGGGUAUCAAACAGGAUUAGAUACCCGAGUAGUC
RNAcentral lists this ribosomal RNA (460 nucleotides) under uncultured bacterium. Its description in RNAcentral is "partial 16S ribosomal RNA". It matches the Rfam family "Bacterial small subunit ribosomal RNA", at positions 338 to 795 of the family's 1533-position model. The record is from RNAcentral.